Molecule: long non-coding RNA, 343 nt
Filed under: Setaria viridis
Lineage: Eukaryota; Viridiplantae; Streptophyta; Magnoliopsida; Poales; Poaceae
Description: long non-coding RNA (SVIR_LNC008135)
Source: RNAcentral
UGGAGCAUUUUUUUUGUCUAACGGGCACAUCGUGCACAGCCCCCAAGCCGUUACACGACUAGUUUGGGUAUAAGGGUCAACCACUAGUCCAUGUGACCGUUUGCCUUCAGAAAUCAUAUCUUUUCCGAAAAAAUUGGUAACCAUUCCGGCGAUAACUGAUGGCUUAAAAGUGGAAUAUUCCUCGUAAUUUUCGCCACUCGGUUACCUGUGCUACGGUUUGUAAAUAUCGGAGGAAUCUUAUCCCUUCCAUUUACCCAAGCUAGUGCGCCUGUUCAUCUUCUCACUAUUGCCCUAGUGUCACUGCUUGCCAUCCCCGAGCACUCCCUAGCAUUGCCAACACCCC